CUACGGGCGGCAGCAGUUAGGAAUAAUCUACAAUGCGCGUAAGCGUGAUAGUUUGAGCCAGAGUGCGUCUCAAAUUGGGACGCUUUUGUGAAAUGUAAAAAGUUUCACGAAUAAGGACUGGGUAAGACGAGUGCCAGCCGCCGCGGUAAUACUCGCGGUCCAAGUCGCAGCCAUUUUUAUUGGGUCUAAAACAUCCGUAGCUUGCUUAGUAAGUUUCUUGUGAAAUCUUAUGUCUUAAACAUGGGGCGUGCAAGAAGUACGGCUUAGCUAGAGACCGGAAGACGUGAGAAGUACAUCUAAAGUAGCGGUCAAAUGUGUUAAUCUUAGGUGGACUAACUAGAGCGAAGGCAUCUCACGAGGACGGUUCUGACAGUAAGGGAUGAAGGCUAGGGGCGCAAAUGGGAUUAGAUACCCCCGUAGUC
This 422-nucleotide ribosomal RNA is filed under the name uncultured archaeon. RNAcentral describes it as "partial 16S ribosomal RNA". It matches the Rfam family "Archaeal small subunit ribosomal RNA", at positions 323 to 746 of the family's 1478-position model. The record is from RNAcentral.